Long non-coding RNA from Orbicella faveolata, 869 nucleotides. NCBI's taxonomy places the organism in Eukaryota, Metazoa, Cnidaria, Anthozoa, Scleractinia, Merulinidae. The record is from RefSeq and is a predicted model, not a curated record.
CAUCGUAAUUCAGAUAAGUCGUUUUCCUGUUCCUCUUGUCGUUUACCAUUGAAUGGUUUCAGCCCAAGAUCGAGAGAUCAAAAUCUAAAAUCACCUUACCAUACCUAAGCGUUGUCAAUUGUAUGCUGCAAAGAAAUUGCAAAAAUAUAAACUGGAAGAUUGUUGAAUAAAAGAAUAACAACUUGAUUUCUUGAUAUUGCUUUUUUUUUUUUCUCAAGGUUGAACACGGUCAGAUGUAUUGAAAGAAAGGGCGGACGUUUUGGAUUGUAGUAUCUUACCCUCGCCCUGUGGAAGCGGAUGACAUUGGAAACAUCUUUAAGACAAAGUGCAGCCAUUUUGGAUAACGGGUAAACACUAAGGUUUAGGAAAGAAAGCCUGUGCAGCCAUUUUAAUUUGACUCCAGUGUAGCUUUCGGAUUCUGGUGGAACUAAAUUGAAAACAUGUAUUUGAGUCAGGUUCAAUGGAGACAUCCUUUGAGAUAAAAGUGUAGCCAUGUUGGAUCGCAGUGUGUUAGCCUUAAAUCCUGGCGCAAGUUGGCAGUCACUGGAAACACCUCAUUUCAGGUAAGUUUCUCUCUCAGUCGAUCAUUUACCGUUGAUGAACAGUUUCAGUCCAAAGAGUGAUUCAAAUCUUAUAUCUUCUCUCCACAUCAAUGCCUUGUUAACUUAGAGAGGAAAUAUGUUGUCGAUAAAUUGAUUUGCGAGGUCAACGCUACUCUCCAUCAAACUGUUUUACCUUAGUUUACUAAAAAUUUAAGCCCCAUUCAACGACAUAUUAAAGACAUUAACAGAAUGAAAAACACGGCGGUGUUAAUCAUUAAAGAAUAAUUUUCAGUGAGAACAUUGUGAGAAAAAAAAGAUUGAUUAUAA